Molecule: ribosomal RNA, 265 nt
Filed under: uncultured archaeon
Lineage: Archaea
Description: partial 16S ribosomal RNA
Rfam family: Archaeal small subunit ribosomal RNA
Source: RNAcentral
ACACGACUACAUUAGAUACCCCUGUAGUCCAGGGUGUAAACGCUGCGGGCUUGGUGUUGGGGGUCCUUUGAGGGCGCCCAGUGCCGGAGAGAAGUUGUUAAGCCUGCUGCUUGGGGAGUACGUCCGCAAGGAUGAAACUUAAAGGAAUUGGCGGGGGAGCACCGCAACGGGAGGAGCGUGCGGUUCAAUUGGAUUCAACGCCGGACAACUCACCAGGGAAGACUGUUACAUGAAGGCCGAGAUGAAGACUCUGCUAGAUUUUCAG